UACAGAGGUCUCAAGCGUUGUUCGGAUUCAUUGGGCGUAAAGGGUGCGUAGGCGGCGCGGUAAGUCGGGUGUGAAAUCUCGGAGCUUAACUCCGAAACUGCAUUCGAUACUGCCGUGCUUGAGGACUGGAGAGGAGACUGGAAUUUACGGUGUAGCGGUGAAAUGCGUAGAUAUCGUAAGGAAGACCAGUGGCGAAGGCGGGUCUCUGGACAGUUCCUGACGCUGAGGCACGAAGGUCAGGGGAGCAAA
This 249-nucleotide ribosomal RNA is filed under the name uncultured bacterium. Its description in RNAcentral is "partial 16S ribosomal RNA". It matches the Rfam family "Bacterial small subunit ribosomal RNA", at positions 524 to 772 of the family's 1533-position model. The record is from RNAcentral.